Molecule: ribosomal RNA, 492 nt
Filed under: uncultured bacterium
Lineage: Bacteria
Description: partial 16S ribosomal RNA
Rfam family: Bacterial small subunit ribosomal RNA
Source: RNAcentral
AGUGAACGCUGGCGGUAGGCCUAACACAUGCAAGUCGAACGGCAGCACAGUAAGAGCUUGCUCUUACGGGUGGCGAGUGGCGGACGGGUGAGGAAUACAUCGGAAUCUACUUUUUCGUGGGGGAUAACGUAGGGAAACUUACGCUAAUACCGCAUACGACCUACGGGUGAAAGCAGGGGAUCUUCGGACCUUGCGCGAUUGAAUGAGCCGAUGUCGGAUUAGCUUGUUAGCGGGGUAAAGGCCCACCAAGGCGACGAUCCGUAGCUGGUCUGAGAGGAUGAACAGCCACACUGGAACUGAGACACGGUCCAGACUCCUACGGGAGGCAGCAGUGGGGAAUAUUGGACAAUGGGCGCAAGCCUGAUCCAGCCAUACCGCGUGGGUGAAGAAGGCCUUCGGGUUGUAAAGCCCUUUUGUUGGGAAAGAAAAGCAGCAGGUGAAUACCCCGCUGUUCUGACGGUACCCAAAGAAUAAGCACCGGCUAACUUCGUG